RNAcentral lists this ribosomal RNA (468 nucleotides) under uncultured bacterium. Its description in RNAcentral is "partial 16S ribosomal RNA". It matches the Rfam family "Bacterial small subunit ribosomal RNA", at positions 28 to 507 of the family's 1533-position model. The record is from RNAcentral.
GACGAACGCUGGCGGCGUGCUUAACACAUGCAAGUCGAACGGAAAGGCCCUGCUUUUGUGGGGUGCUCGAGUGGCGAACGGGUGAGUAACACGUGAGUAACCUGCCCUUGACUUUGGGAUAACUUCAGGAAACUGGGGCUAAUACCGGAUAGGAGCUCCUGCUGCAUGGUGGGGGUUGGAAAGUUUCGGCGGUUGGGGAUGGACUCGCGGCUUAUCAGCUUGUUGGUGGGGUAGUGGCUUACCAAGGCUUUGACGGGUAGCCGGCCUGAGAGGGUGACCGGCCACAAUGGGACUGAGCUACGGACCAGACUCCUACGGGCGACAACAGUGGAGAAUGUUGAACAAUGGGCGGAAGCCUGAUGCAGCAACGCCGCGUGCGAGAUGAAGGCCUUCGGGUUGUAAACCGCUUUAGCCUGUGACGAAGCGUGAGUGACGGUAAUGGAUAAAGAAGCACCGGCUAACUACGUG